RNAcentral lists this transfer RNA (73 nucleotides) under Curtonida isos. RNAcentral describes it as "Munida isos tRNA-Val". It matches the Rfam family "tRNA". Rfam says of the family: Transfer RNA (tRNA) molecules are approximately 80 nucleotides in length. The record is from RNAcentral. Lineage: Eukaryota; Metazoa; Arthropoda; Malacostraca; Decapoda; Munididae.
CGAAAUAUGGUUUAAUUUAUAAAACAUUUCAUUUACAUUGAGAAGAAUUAUUGUGAAGAUCAAUUUAUUUCGA